This 1293-nucleotide ribosomal RNA is filed under the name Legionella micdadei. RNAcentral describes it as "bacterial LSU rRNA". It matches the Rfam family "Bacterial large subunit ribosomal RNA", at positions 1 to 1327 of the family's 2925-position model. The record is from RNAcentral. Lineage: Bacteria; Pseudomonadati; Pseudomonadota; Gammaproteobacteria; Legionellales; Legionellaceae.
AUAUGGUCAAGAAGAGAAGCGCAAACGGUGGAUGCCUUGGCAGUAAGAGGCGAAGAAGGACGUGGAAUCCUGCGAAAAGCUUUGGGGAGCUGGAAACGAGCUGUGAUCCGAAGAUGUCCGAAUGGGGGAACCCGGCUUUGCGAGAGCGAGGUCAUCUGUGACUGAAUACAUAGGUUACGGAAGCGAACUCGGGGAACUGAAACAUCUAAGUACCCGAAGGAAAAGAAAUCAAACGAGAUUCUCCAAGUAGCGGCGAGCGAACGGGGAGGAGCCUGGUGUGAUAUAUCAUUGAAGCGAGUAGAAGGUUCUGGGAAGUACCACGAUACAGGGUGAAAGUCCCGUAUACGAAGCGGAUAUGAGGAACUAAGCACACGAACAAGUAGGCUGGGACACGUGAAAUCCUGGUUGAAUAUGGGUGGACCAUCAUCCAAGGCUAAAUACUCCUUACUGACCGAUAGUGCACCAGUACCGUGAGGGAAAGGCGAAAAGAACCCCGGAGAGGGGAGUGAAAUAGAACCUGAAACCGUUUGCGUACAAGCAGUGGGAGCUAGGUUUAGGCUUAGUGACUGCGUACCUUUUGUAUAAUGGGUCAGCGAGUUACUUUCAGUGGCGAGGUUAACUAAUAAGGGAGCCGUAGAGAAAUCGAGUCUGAAUAGGGCGAGAGUCGCUGGGAGUAGACCCGAAACCGGGCGAUCUAGCCAUGUGCAGGAUGAAGGUUGGGUAACACCAACUGGAGGUCCGAACCGGGUAAUGUUGAAAAAUUAUCGGAUGACGUGUGGCUAGGAGUGAAAGGCUAAUCAAGCCCGGAGAUAGCUGGUUCUCCCCGAAAGCUAUUUAGGUAGCGCCUUGUGGGAUGAUUACUGGGGGUAGAGCACUGUUUCGGCUAGGGGGCUGUCAUGGCUUACCAAACCGAUGCAAACUCCGAAUACCGGAUAAUUGGACCACGGGAGACACACGGCGGGUGCUAACGUCCGUCGUGGAGAGGGCAACAACCCAGACCGUCGGCUAAGGUCCCAAAGUUAUGGUUAAGUGGGAAACGAUGUGGGAAGGCACAGACAGCCAGGAGGUUGGCUUAGAAGCAGCCACCCUUUAAAGAAAGCGUAAUAGCUCACUGGUCGAGUCGGCCUGCGCGGAAGAUGUAACGGGGCUAAAACCAUACACCGAAGCUGCGGAUGUGCACUAAGUGCACGUGGUAGGGGAGCGUUCUGUAGGCUGAAGAAGGUUCACUGAGAGGUGGGCUGGAGGUAUCAGAAGUGCGAAUGCUGACAUGAGUAACGAUAAAGUGGGUGAAAA